UACGUAGGGGGCAAGCGUUGUCCGGAAUCACUGGGCUUAAAGCGCGUGUAGGUGGGUCGUUAAGUGUCCGCGUGAAAUCCCACGGCUCAACCGUGGAACUGCCGGGCAUACUGGCGAUCUUGGGCCAUCCAGGGGUCGCCGGAACAAGCGGUGGAGCGGUGAAAUGCGUAGAUAUCGCUUGGAACGCCAAAGGUGAAGACAGGCGACUGGGGAUGUGCCGACGCUGAGACGCGAAAGCCAGGGGAGACGGAACGGG
RNAcentral lists this ribosomal RNA (256 nucleotides) under uncultured bacterium. Its description in RNAcentral is "partial 16S ribosomal RNA". It matches the Rfam family "Bacterial small subunit ribosomal RNA", at positions 524 to 776 of the family's 1533-position model. The record is from RNAcentral.